This is a long non-coding RNA of Musa acuminata subsp. malaccensis (wild Malaysian banana), 1227 nucleotides long. RefSeq lists it as uncharacterized. Lineage: Eukaryota; Viridiplantae; Streptophyta; Magnoliopsida; Zingiberales; Musaceae. The record is from RefSeq and is a predicted model, not a curated record.
UUUACUUGGUGUCUUCCAUUAAGGUAUUCAACAGCAUACAGAAGAUCGACUUCAUAUGGAUCCAGAGAGAGAGAGAGAGAGAGAGAGAGAGAGAGACCGGAGUCACUGUCACUAGCUGUAGCAAGCUAAGCGGCCAAAUUGCACCAAUGAAAACACUGAAGCAGCACAUCGCAUGUAGAGAAGAUCGAUGGUGAUGAGGAUCAUUCAUGUGGAGGCGGAAGAGGCGUGACUACAAAGCAGCAGUUCCACAAGGGAAGAUGGGGGACCUUCCUAUCACCACCACCACCAUGCAUGGAUUCUGUUGGAUGGCAUUCUGAAAGCCCACCAUUACUCUCUCUCUCUCUCUCUCUCUCUCUCUCCUCUCUUAUAUAUCUGCUAGCCAACCCGCCUUUCUUCUUAUCCUUCUUCUCAAUUCUUGGCUUAGGAUUUCUUUGUUGGUGUGAGAGGUUGAAGCUGCCAGCAUGAUCUGGUCAUCGAAUGCUGCUCAUUCUCUCCAUGGCUGCUUAGAAGCUGCCAAAAGCAUCAAUGGUGGGCAGUCCAAUAAUGGAGAUGUUAGCCGUAGGAAGAUUACCUUGUCUAGAUAGCUGUAGAGACGGAGCUAUAUGCCCUGAAACCCAAUGUUGCAUGUUUAGUUAUGAGUAUUGGUACGAGAAGGAAGUAUCUCAUCUUGAUCCAACAAGGUAAUAGGAUUAAGACCCAAAGAUAUAGCCAUCGUUUGAGGUUCUCAAGAGCUCCAAUGUGUCUUUCCAUCCAGAGAGAUGAGGGGGUUAUUUGAUUCCAUCAGAUCAUCCGGCAGUUUCAAUCACUCACUCACCAACACAAGGCUGCGCUCUUUUGCUCUCUCCCUGAAUGCUCAAAAGAGCUUCCUCUUUGUAGUUUAUGCUAGCUGAUGACUCUUGCUCACAUGAAGAGCCGUCUCGCAUUGUAGCCAUGAAGAAGAGUGUCUCAGAAAUGAGUCAUGAGAACACAAUUCUAGUAUAGACGGAGGAAGAGGAUGAAAACAUGUCUUCUAUUCCAUGUUCUAAGAAGAGAAAGGUGAGACACAAGGCAUAUAUCAGUACACAGAGGUAAGUGUUGGUGGCGUCCACUGCGAUGACAUGGAUAAUAUGGCAAACGACAGUCAUGUUAUGGGGUUGGCUUUGUCACGUAGCAUUCUGGAAUUUCUCAUAAUGUAAUAUAUUUCAUUUUUCUCUAGUGGUGAAUCGAUUCUAUGCAAAUUUUCUUGAA